CGCAUGGCUAGGAGUUGGAAAGAAUUUUGGUCAAGGAUGGACUCGCGGCCUAUCAGCUAGUUGGUGAGGUAAUGGCUCACCAAGGCGACGACGGGUAGCCGGCCUGAGAGGGUGACCGGCCACACUGGGACUGAGACACGGCCCAGACUCCUACGGGAGGCAGCAGUGGGGAAUAUUGCACAAUGGGCGAAAGCCUGAUGCAGCAACGCCGCGUGAGGGAUGACGGCCUCGGUUGUAACCUCUUUAGUAGGGUAAGAAGCGAAAGUGACGGUACCUGCAGAAAAGCACCGGCUAACUACGUGCCAGCAGCCGCGGUAAUACGUAGGUGCGAAGCGUUGUCCGGAAUUAUUGGGCGUAAAGAGCUCGUAGGCGGUUUGUCGCGUCUGCUGUGAAAUCUGGGGGCUCAACCCCCAGCCUGCAGUGGUACGGGCAGACUAGAGUGCGGUAGGGAGAUUGGAAUUCCUGGUGUAGCGGUGGAAUGCGCAGAUAUCGAGGAGGAACACCGAUGGCGAACGG
This 516-nucleotide ribosomal RNA is filed under the name uncultured Microbacteriaceae bacterium. RNAcentral describes it as "bacterial SSU rRNA". It matches the Rfam family "Bacterial small subunit ribosomal RNA", at positions 187 to 721 of the family's 1533-position model. Lineage: Bacteria; Bacillati; Actinomycetota; Actinomycetes; Micrococcales; Microbacteriaceae. The record is from RNAcentral.